CCCUGUGCCCGGCCCACUUCUG
This 22-nucleotide microRNA is filed under the name Homo sapiens (human). Its description in RNAcentral is "hsa-miR-1914-5p". Lineage: Eukaryota; Metazoa; Chordata; Mammalia; Primates; Hominidae. The record is from miRBase by way of RNAcentral.